GUGAAUCAUCGAAUUUUUGAACGCAAAUUGCGCUUCCUGGCAUCCCGGGAAGUAUGCCUGUUUGAGGGUCAGUAUUAACAAAAAAAUCGGUUUGGUUGCAAAUUGUGACGUUUCCGGAGUUUGGGCUAUCUUAACUUUUUUGGUUAAGUGGCUUAAAAUUGACCUUUUUUCCCCUUUUUUAUCCUACAUAAAUUUUUUUUUUUUUUUCUUUUUUCUUUAUUCCCAAAUCUUUUUUAUUUCC
Molecule: unclassified non-coding RNA, 241 nt
Filed under: Glomeraceae sp.
Lineage: Eukaryota; Fungi; Glomeromycota; Glomeromycetes; Glomerales; Glomeraceae
Description: partial contains 5.8S ribosomal RNA and internal transcribed spacer 2
Rfam family: 5.8S ribosomal RNA (bases 1-71)
Source: RNAcentral